Molecule: ribosomal RNA, 562 nt
Filed under: Pseudomonas sp.
Lineage: Bacteria; Pseudomonadati; Pseudomonadota; Gammaproteobacteria; Pseudomonadales; Pseudomonadaceae
Description: bacterial SSU rRNA
Rfam family: Bacterial small subunit ribosomal RNA
Source: RNAcentral
AGGAAUCUGCCUGGUAGUGGGGGACAACGUUUCGAAAGGAACGCUAAUACCGCAUACGUCCUACGGGAGAAAGCAGGGGACCUUCGGGCCUUGCGCUAUCAGAUGAGCCUAGGUCGGAUUAGCUAGUUGGUGAGGUAAAGGCUCACCAAGGCGACGAUCCGUAACUGGUCUGAGAGGAUGAUCAGUCACACUGGAACUGAGACACGGUCCAGACUCCUACGGGAGGCAGCAGUGGGGAAUAUUGGACAAUGGGCGAAAGCCUGAUCCAGCCAUGCCGCGUGUGUGAAGAAGGUCUUCGGAUUGUAAAGCACUUUAAGUUGGGAGGAAGGGCAGUAAGUUAAUACCUUGCUGUUUUGACGUUACUGUUAGAAUAAGCACCGGCUAACUCUGUGCCAGCAGCCGCGGUAAUACAGAGGGUGCAAGCGUUAAUCGGAAUUACUGGGCGUAAAGCGCGCGUAGGUGGUUCGUUAAGUUGGAUGUGAAAUCCCCGGGCUCAACCUGGGAACUGCAUCCAAAACUGGCGAGCUAGAGUAGGGCAGAGGGUGGUGGAAUUUCCUGUGUA